This 736-nucleotide ribosomal RNA is filed under the name bacterium enrichment culture clone BH94. RNAcentral describes it as "bacterial SSU rRNA". It matches the Rfam family "Bacterial small subunit ribosomal RNA", at positions 61 to 784 of the family's 1533-position model. The record is from RNAcentral.
GUCGUACGGCAACACAGUUGCGAGCAAUCGCAACCGGUGGCGAGUGGCGCACGGGUGAGUAACGCGUAUGUAACCUACCCUUCUCCGGGACAUAACUCCGCGAAAGCGGUGCUAAUAUCCCAUACCAACUCAUCAAGACAUCUUCUUGAGUUGAAAGCAGCAAUGCGGUGAAGGAUGGGCAUGCGUCCCAUUAGCUGGUUGGUGAGGUAAUGGCCCACCAAGGCUACGAUGGGUAGGGGUUCUGAGAGGAAAGCCCCCCACACUGGUACUGAGACACGGACCAGACUCCUACGGGAGGCAGCAGUAAGGAAUAUUGGGCAAUGGUCGAAAGACUGACCCAGCCAUGCCGCGUGCAGGAUGAAGGCCCUAUGGGUUGUAAACUGCUUUUAGCCGGGAAUAAACACCCGUUUUAUAACGGGCCCGAAGGUACCGGCUGAAUAAGCAUCGGCUAACUCCGUGCCAGCAGCCGCGGUAAUACGGAGGAUGCAAGCGUUAUCCGGAUUCACUGGGUUUAAAGGGUGCGCAGGCGGACAUUUAAGUCAGGGGUGAAAUCCUACAGCUUAACUGUAGAACUGCCCUUGAUACUGAAUGCCUAGAGUAAAGCUGAAGUGGGCGGAAUGUGUUGUGUAGCGGUGAAAUGCUUAGAUAUAACACAGAACACCAAUCGCGAAGGCAGCUCACUAAACUUUAACUGACGCUCAUGCACGAAAGCGUGGGGAGCAAACAGGAUUAGAUA